Non-coding RNA from Cricetulus griseus (Chinese hamster), 1543 nucleotides. The record is from RefSeq and is a predicted model, not a curated record. Lineage: Eukaryota; Metazoa; Chordata; Mammalia; Rodentia; Cricetidae.
CACAGCAAAGACAAAGGCCAGAAGCAAACUGUUGUGGGGUGGUGAGCGGAUGGAGGCUGCUGGGAAAGGCAGGGAGCAGAAUCCGAGAGUCAAUCAGCAGGGCCAGGAAGAAGAUAUCUAACCUUUCACCUCCAAAACGAACAUUGAAAGUACAGAAACACAAGAUUGGCUGUUUUCUAAGAGGGAGAAUGAAAAGCUGGGAGUCCUCUUGGUGGCCAGACAGGAAACUUGUCUCCCAGGAAGAGACUUCACUCUGUUAGACUGCCUGGCAGGACGCACUGGAGCCCCAAUAACAACAGCGGUCAGUGAUGGGCAGGAUGGCACCUGAACCAAGCCUGCUUGCUGUGCACACUGUGUCCCUGUUUAAAUCUAAACCUCAUGUCAGGACUCUGAAGAUGGAGUUAGUAGGAUGUGUUUGUUCCUCUUGAAAUGGAACCACCUUGCACAAAUCUUCCGGUUGACCCGUUGCAGGUAGAUGGCUUAUCCUGGUUCAUUCAGGCUGCCAGGGCCCUUCCAGAUGCUGGUCCUCAACACAUCAGUAACAAUAGGACAGAGAGGUCACCAGGAAACUGGCUUCUCACUAUGGACUGGAGACCUGUAGCAAGGACUUCCAAACAAGCCAUCAGAUGGCCCCACAGAACAUGAGGCCUCAGUGUUUGACUUUUUUUUCCUGCCAUCUGGAAUGUCAAGGUCCCUAUUCCAAGUACAUUUUUUCCUUAGCUACACAGCCAGGCUUUCCUAAAUAUCCACAGUUAUGUGGCCCUUUUGUUGUGGCUUCAGUUUCCUGUGUAUCCUCAACACAAGAGAACAGAGGACCAGGAGGAGAGGGGAAAAUGAAAAGUUGUUUGCUUUCCUGUCAUGCCCCAGUGAACCCACGACUCCCCCACCCCUCACAGACCUGGGAAAGACCCAGAAUGCCACUGUGGUCAGAACAUGCUGUAUUUGAUUCAUUUUCAUUUUUAAGAUAAAAAGUUUUAUUUCAGAGAGAAACACAAAGCCCUGGGUGUUAUGGAUCAGCCAGGAUUUGACAGGGUUCUGGGACUUUCAAACUGUACAAAAUAAAUUGUAUCAUCCCUUGAUAACCCAAAGGACACAGUGGCCACAUCCUAACCCAGGGUCCCCCACCCUGGACCCCAGCUCUGCUCCUCAUGGGCUGCAGGAAGACUUGUAGCACUCUUGUCUCAUUUAGGCCACUUAAUUAUCAGAUGUGACUGUGUCUCCCCAUGCCCGUGUGAGGGUUAAUACUGACUGUCAGCUUUCCAGGUCCUACAGUCACCUAGGAGACAAACAUCUGGGCAUCCGUGUAAUGAAGUUUCUAGAUCGGGUUAACUGAACUGGGACAAUCCAUCCUAAUUAUGGUGGUACCACUCUGCAAGCUGCCGCCCCGGACUGAAUGAAAAGGAGAAAGUGAGCCAAGCGUCCAUCUCUCUCUGCUUCCUGAAUUUGAAUGCAAAGUAACCAACCUGCUUCACACCUCUGCCUUCUCUGCAGUGAUGGGCUACACCCUCCAUCCUUGAGCCAAAAAUAAACCCUUCCUUGCUUA